This is a long non-coding RNA of Zootoca vivipara (common lizard), 1444 nucleotides long. RefSeq lists it as uncharacterized. The record is from RefSeq and is a predicted model, not a curated record. NCBI's taxonomy places the organism in Eukaryota, Metazoa, Chordata, Lepidosauria, Squamata, Lacertidae.
GUUUUGUUUUUGCGAACAGACGGCUUUCAGUCUGUUAUAAUGCCGGAAGCACGACGCAGCAGGGAAACUGCCGGAUCUGGGCUGGUGCUUGCAAAAUGCCUGGCACCUGCGACGCGGUUCAAGAGCAGACCCUCCAAGUGUCCUUAUUCUCCAAGGACAGCCCCAGAUUUAUAGAAGCCGCCCAGGUUUCUGACUUGAUCCCAGAAUGACCUGCUUUUCCUUAUCCUUGGAGGAAUUCUGCAAUUUAUUAUCAAGACCUGAAAGAAGAAAUAAAGAAUACAAAAGAAAAAGAAAUAAAGUAAAAAAGAAAAGAAACAGACCACAAACAAACAAACAAACAAACAAACAGACAAAACAAAAGACAUGGCUUUAAAUAAACAUAAUUGACUAUAUAUUCUUUGCGUCCUUAUUUUAUCCUUAUAUAGCACACGGAUCAACUUUAUAUGUUAUAUUCAUUAUUUCCCUCCAUUUUAGAAGAUGUUGUUUUCCUUAUUUUUCAAUAUUCACUCUAUUUCUACCAGGAGAUGUUUAGUAUUAUAAUAUUGAUCUAGAUGUUCCUUAAAGAUUUCCCAUUCUCUUUGAACCCUUUGAUUGGAGUAGCCUCUAAGUCUCCCUGUCAUUACUGCCAUUUGCAUUUCACUUUAAAACGCUUAUGGCAAGCAGGGUCACAGCACAUACAAUACAAAGCACAAAAGCUUUUUGCUACAAAAUGUAUCCAUGUGGAGGCUAUGCUUAUGCACAGUAGAUGUUGAACUAUGGCACCAAAUCAACCGAUCUGAAUAAUAUGCUUAUGCUAGAAGUGAAGGCACACAAAAUGAAAUGUAACUAAAUAAGUUCUGGCUAACAACGGUGGUCCCAUCUGGUCCCAUCACCUCCUAGCAAAUAGAAGGGGAAGAAAUGGAGGCAGUGAGAGAUUAUAGUUUCUUGGGUUCCAUGAUCACUGCAGAAAUAUCAGCAACCUCAGAUAUGCUGAUGACACAACCUUGAUGGCAGAAAGUGAGGAGGAAUUAAAGAACCUUUUAAUGAGGGUGAAAGAGGAGAGCGCAAAAUAUGGUCUGAAGCUCAACAUCAAAAAAUCUAAGAUCAUGGCCACUGGUCCCAUCACCUCCUGGCAAAUACCGUAGAAGGGGAAGAAAUGGAGGCAGUGAGAGAUUUUACUUUCUUGGGUUCCAUGAUCACUGCAGAUGGUGACAGCAGUCACGGAAUUAAAAGAUGCCUGCUUCUUGGGAGAAAAGCAAUGACAAACCUAGACAGCAUCUUAAAAAGCAGAGACAUUGCCUUGCCGACAAAGGUCUGUAUAGUUAAAGCUAUGGUUUUCCCAGUAGUGAUGUAUGGAAGUGAGAGCUGGACCAUAAAGAAGGCUGAUCACCGAAGAAUUGAUGCUUUUGAAUUAUGGUGCUGGAGGAGACUCUUGAGAGUCCCAUGGACUGCUAGAAGAUCAAAC